GGAGCUGGGCUGGUGUGCCUACACUGGCAUGUCAGGGAGGUUCUUUUGACCUAGCGGCAAAUGCCGUGAGUAACACGUGCUUAAUCUACCCUUUAGAUUGGAAUACCCCAUGGAAACAUUGGCUAAUGCCGGAUACGCAUGGAAUCGCAUGAUUCCGUUGUGAAAGGAGCCUUUAAGGCUCCGCUAGAGGAUGAGGGUGCGGAACAUUAUUUAGUUGGUAGGGUAAUGGCCUACCAAGACUAUGAUGUUUAUCCGGGUCGAGAGACUGAACGGCCACAUUGGGACUGAAAUACGGCCCAAACUCCUACGGGAGGCAUCAGUAAGGAAUAUUCCACAAUGAUCGAAAGCUUGAUGGAGCGACACAGCGUGCACGAUGAAGGUCUUCGGAUUGUAAAGUGCUGUUAUAGGGAAAGAACACCUGGUUGAAAGAAAUGCUUCCAGGCUGACGGUACCCUGUCACAAAGCGAUGGCUAACUAUGUGCCUCCAGCCGCGGUAAUACAUAAGUCGCAAGCGUUAUCCGGAAUUAUUGAGCGUAUGGCGUUCGUAGGCUGUUUAUUAAGUCUGGAGUCAAAUCCCAGGGCUCAGCCUGGCUCGCUUUGGAUACUGGUAAACUAGAGUUACAUAGAGGUAAGCGGAAUUCCAUGUGAAGCGGUGAAAUGCGUAGAUAUAUGGAAUAUCACCAAAGGCGACUGCUGCUUACUGGGUCUAUACUGACGCUGAUGAACCAGAGCGUGGGGAGCAACAGGAUUAGAUACACUGGUAGUCCUCGCCGUACACGAUGAUCAUUAUUCGGUGGAGAGUUCACUGACGCAGCUAACGCGUUAAUGAUCCGCCUGAGUAUAUGCUCGGAGAGUGAACUCAAAUGAUUUGACUGAAUAAA
This 881-nucleotide ribosomal RNA is filed under the name Mycoplasmopsis arginini. Its description in RNAcentral is "bacterial SSU rRNA". It matches the Rfam family "Bacterial small subunit ribosomal RNA", at positions 32 to 929 of the family's 1533-position model. Lineage: Bacteria; Bacillati; Mycoplasmatota; Mycoplasmoidales; Metamycoplasmataceae. The record is from RNAcentral.